Molecule: ribosomal RNA, 406 nt
Filed under: uncultured bacterium
Lineage: Bacteria
Description: partial 16S ribosomal RNA
Rfam family: Bacterial small subunit ribosomal RNA
Source: RNAcentral
AUUGAACGCUGGCGGCAGGCCUAACACAUGCAAGUCGAACGAGUGGCGGACGGGAGAGUAAUGUCUGUGACUCUGCCUGAUGGAUGGGGUUAACUACUGGAAACGGUAGCCAAUACCGCAUACCAGCGGAUUUGCCCUGGUGGGAUUAGCUAGUAGGUGGGGUAAAGGCUCACGUAGGCGACGAUCCCUAGCUGGUCUGAGAGGAUGACCGGCCACACUGGAACUGAGACACGGUCCAGACUCCUACGGGAGGCAGCAGUGGGGAAUAUUGCACAAUGGGCGCAAGCCUGAUGCAGCCAUGCCGCGUGUGUGAAGAAGGCCUUCGGGUUGUAAAGUACUUUCAGCUGGGAGGCGUUACCCACAGAAGAAGCACCGGCUAACUCCGUGCCAGCAGCCGCGGUAAUUC